AACGCACAUUGCGCCCUAUGGUAUUCCGUAGGGCAUGCCUGUUCGAGCGUCAUUUACACCUUCAAGCUCUGCUUGGUGUUGGGUGACUGUGGCCCCUGGGCCACUCGCCUCAAAGGUAUUGGCGGCCGGUUUGUAGGCUUCGAGCGCAGCACAUUUGCGUCCUCGUCUCCCGCAGAUCGGCUCCCAGAAGCUAUCUUUUACUGUUUGACCUCGGAUCAGGUAGGGAUACCCGCUGAACUUAA
This 242-nucleotide unclassified non-coding RNA is filed under the name uncultured Pleosporales. RNAcentral's name for it is "sequence contains 5.8S rRNA gene, ITS2, 28S rRNA gene". The stretch from base 1 to 52 matches the Rfam family "5.8S ribosomal RNA", at positions 103 to 154 of the family's 154-position model. Lineage: Eukaryota; Fungi; Ascomycota; Dothideomycetes; Pleosporales. The record is from RNAcentral.